RNAcentral lists this non-coding RNA (174 nucleotides) under Pontibacillus litoralis JSM 072002. RNAcentral describes it as "Staphylococcus sRNA 414". It matches the Rfam family "Staphylococcus sRNA 414". From Rfam's summary of the family: Antisense of an annotated CDS (SAOUHSC_1422) but was considered an trans-encoded sRNA rather than a typical antisense RNA. Target prediction revealed enrichment of iron-coding genes and genes with function in cofator metabolism. Lineage: Bacteria; Bacillati; Bacillota; Bacilli; Caryophanales; Bacillaceae. The record is from Rfam by way of RNAcentral.
GGCGAUUAAGUGAUUCUUCUUUAUUCCCUUGUCCGCACAAAUGAAUGAUUUGAUACGUUUGUAAUAAUUCAUCUAAAUUAUCCCGUAUCGCAUCAUUCAUUUUCUUUGAUCCUGAGCUACCACCCAUUACUAAGAUUACUGGUUUGGACUUUGUGAAAUUCGUCAUGGACAAUC